Molecule: ribosomal RNA, 253 nt
Filed under: uncultured bacterium
Lineage: Bacteria
Description: partial 16S ribosomal RNA
Rfam family: Bacterial small subunit ribosomal RNA
Source: RNAcentral
UACAGAGGUCCCAAGCGUUGUUCGGAUUCACUGGGCGUAAAGGGUGCGUAGGUGGUGAGGUAAGUCGGAUGUGAAAGCUCGGAGCUCAACUCCGAAAUGGCAUUGGAAACUACCUUGCUCGAGGGUUGGAGGGGGGACUAGAAUACUUGGUGUAGCAGUGAAAUGCGUAGAUAUCAGGAGGAACACCGGUGGCGAAGGCGGGUCUCUGGGCCGAUACUGACGCUGAGGAGCGAAAGCGUGGGGAGCGAACAGG